GACGAACGCUGGCGGCGUGCUUAACACAUGCAAGUCGAACGGAAAGGCCCUGCUUUUGUGGGGUGCUCGAGUGGCGAACGGGUGAGUAACACGUGAGUAACCUGCCCUUGACUUUGGGAUAACUUCAGGAAACUGGGGCUAAUACCGGAUAGGAGCUCCUGCUGCAUGGUGGGGGUUGGAAAGUUUCGGCGGUUGGGGAUGGACUCGCGGCUUAUCAGCUUGUUGGUGGGGUAGUGGCUUACCAAGGCUUUGACGGGUAGCCGGCCUGAGAGGGUGACCGGCCACAUUGGGACUGAGGUACGGCCCAGACUCCUACGGGAGGCAGCAGCGGGGAAUAUUGCACAAUGGGCGGAAGCCUGAUGCAGCAACGCCGCGUGCGGGAUGACGGCCUUCGGGUUGUAAACCGCUUUCGCCUGUGACGAAGCGUGAGUGACGGUAAUGGGUAAAGAAGCACCGGCUAACUACGUG
This 468-nucleotide ribosomal RNA is filed under the name uncultured bacterium. Its description in RNAcentral is "partial 16S ribosomal RNA". It matches the Rfam family "Bacterial small subunit ribosomal RNA", at positions 28 to 507 of the family's 1533-position model. The record is from RNAcentral.